This 497-nucleotide ribosomal RNA is filed under the name uncultured bacterium. RNAcentral's name for it is "partial 16S ribosomal RNA". It matches the Rfam family "Bacterial small subunit ribosomal RNA", at positions 28 to 507 of the family's 1533-position model. The record is from RNAcentral.
GAUGAACGCCGGCGGCGUGCCUAAUACAUGCAAGUCGAGCGAACGGACAAGAAGCUUGCUUCUCUGAUGUUAGCGGCGGACGGGUAAGUAACACGUGGAUAACCUACCUAUAAGACUGGGAUAACUUCGGGAAACCGGAGCUAAUACCGGAUAAUAUUUUGAACCGCAUGGUUCAAAAGUGAAAGACGGUCUUGCUGUCACUUAUAGAUGGAUCCGCGCUGCAUUAGCUAGUUGGUAAGGUAACGGCUUACCAAGGCAACGAUGCAUAGCCGACCUGAGAGGGUGAUCGGCCACACUGGAACUGAGACACGGUCCAGACUCCUACGGGAGGCAGCAGUAGGGAAUCUUCCGCAAUGGGCGAAAGCCUGACGGAGCAACGCCGCGUGAGUGAUGAAGGUCUUCGGAUCGUAAAACUCUGUUAUUAGGGAAGAACAUAUGUGUAAGUAACUGUGCACAUCUUGACGGUACCUAAUCAGAAAGCCACGGCUAACUACGUG